GGGUUGUGAGGUUAAGCGACUAAGCGUACACGGUGGAUGCCCUGGCAGUCAGAGGCGAUGAAGGACGUGCUAAUCUGCGAAAAGCGUCGGUAAGGUGAUAUGAACCGUUACAGCCGGCGAUGUCCGAAUGGGGAAACCCAGUGCAAUUCGUUGCACUAUCGUUAACUGAAUACAUAGGUUAACGAGGCGAACCGGGGGAACUGAAACAUCUAAGUACCCCGAGGAAAAGAAAUCAACCGAGAUUCCCCCAGUAGCGGCGAGCGAACGGGGAGCAGCCCAGAGUCUGAAUCAGCUUGUGUGUUAGUGGAACGGUCUGGAAAGUCCGACGGUACAGGGUGAUAGUCCCGUACACCAAAAUGCACAGGCUGUGAACUCGAAGAGUAGGGCGGGACACGUGGUAUCCUGUCUGAAUAUGGGGGGACCAUCCUCCAAGGCUAAAUACUCCUGACUGACCGAUAGUGAACCAGUACCGUGAGGGAAAGGCGAAAAGAACCCCGGCGAGGGGAGUGAAAAAGAACCUGAAACCGUGUACGUACAAGCAGUGGGAGCACCUUCGGGUGUGACUGCGUACCUUUUGUAUAAUGGGUCAGCGACUUAUAUUCUGUAGCAAGGUUAACCGUAUAGGGGAGCCGCAGGGAAACCGAGUCUUAACUGGGCGUUAAGUUGCAGGGUAUAGACCCGAAACCCGGUGAUCUAGCCAUGGGCAGGUUGAAGGUUGGGUAACACUAACUGGAGGACCGAACCGACUAAUGUUGAAAAAUUAGCGGAUGACUUGUGGCUGGGGGUGAAAGGCCAAUCAAACCGGGAGAUAGCUGGUUCUCCCCGAAAGCUAUUUAGGUAGCGCCUCGUGAACUCAUCUUCGGGGGUAGAGCACUGUUUCGGCUAGGGGGUCAUCCCGACUUACCAACCCGAUGCAAACUACGAAUACCGAAGAAUGUUAUCACGGGAGACACACGGCGGGUGCUAACGUCCGUCGUGAAGAGGGAAACAACCCAGACCGCCAGCUAAGGUCCCAAAGUCAUGGUUAAGUGGGAAACGAUGUGGGAAGGCCCAGACAGCCAGGAUGUUGGCUUAGAAGCAGCCAUCAUUUAAAGAAAGCGUAAUAGCUCACUGGUCGAGUCGGCCUGCGCGGAAGAUGUAACGGGGCUAAACCAUGCACCGAAGCUGCGGCAGCGACACUAUGUGUUGUUGGGUAGGGGAGCGUUCUGUAAGCCUGUGAAGGUGGCCUGUGAGGGCUGCUGGAGGUAUCAGAAGUGCGAAUGCUGACAUAAGUAACGAUAAAGCGGGUGAAAAGCCCGCUCGCCGGAAGACCAAGGGUUCCUGUCCAACGUUAAUCGGGGCAGGGUGAGUCGACCCCUAAGGCGAGGCCGAAAGGCGUAGUCGAUGGGAAACAGGUUAAUAUUCCUGUACUUGGUGUUACUGCGAAGGGGGGACGGAGAAGGCUAUGUCAUCCGGGCGACGGUUGUCCCGGUUUAAGCAUGUAGGCUGGUUAUCCAGGCAAAUCCGGAUAAUCAAGGCUGAGGUGUGAUGACGAGGUACCACGGUACUGAAGUGACAGAUGCCCUGCUUCCAGGAAAAGCCUCUAAGCAUCAGGUAACAUCAAAUCGUACCCCAAACCGACACAGGUGGUCAGGUAGAGAAUACCAAGGCGCUUGAGAGAACUCGGGUGAAGGAACUAGGCAAAAUGGUGCCGUAACUUCGGGAGAAGGCACGCUGGUGUGUAGGUGAAGUCCCUGCGGACGGAGCUGAGACCAGUCGAAGAUACCAGCUGGCUGCAACUGUUUAUUAAAAACACAGCACUGUGCAAACACGAAAGUGGACGUAUACGGUGUGACGCCUGCCCGGUGCCGGAAGGUUAAUUGAUGGGGUUAUCCGUAAGGAGAAGCUCUUGAUCGAAGCCCCGGUAAACGGCGGCCGUAACUAUAACGGUCCUAAGGUAGCGAAAUUCCUUGUCGGGUAAGUUCCGACCUGCACGAAUGGCGUAAUGAUGGCCAGGCUGUCUCCACCCGAGACUCAGUGAAAUUGAACUCGCUGUGAAGAUGCAGUGUACCCGCGGCAAGACGGAAAGACCCCGUGAACCUUUACUAUAGCUUGACACUGAACAUUGAGCCUUGAUGUGUAGGAUAGGUGGGAGGCUUUGAAGCGUGGACGCCAGUCUGCGUGGAGCCAACCUUGAAAUACCACCCUUUAAUGUUUGAUGUUCUAACGUUGGCCCCUUAUCGGGGUUGCGGACAGUGUCUGGUGGGUAGUUUGACUGGGGCGGUCUCCUCCCAAAGCGUAACGGAGGAGCACGAAGGUUAGCUAAUCCUGGUCGGACAUCAGGAGGUUAGUGCAAUGGCAUAAGCUAGCUUGACUGCGAGCGUGACGGCGCGAGCAGGUGCGAAAGCAGGUCAUAGUGAUCCGGUGGUUCUGAAUGGAAGGGCCAUCGCUCAACGGAUAAAAGGUACUCCGGGGAUAACAGGCUGAUACCGCCCAAGAGUUCAUAUCGACGGCGGUGUUUGGCACCUCGAUGUCGGCUCAUCACAUCCUGGGGCUGAAGUAGGUCCCAAGGGUAUGGCUGUUCGCCAUUUAAAGUGGUACGCGAGCUGGGUUUAGAACGUCGUGAGACAGUUCGGUCCCUAUCUGCCGUGGGCGCUGGAGAAUUGAGGGGGGCUGCUCCUAGUACGAGAGGACCGGAGUGGACGCAUCACUGGUGUUCGGGUUGUCAUGCCAAUGGCACUGCCCGGUAGCUAAAUGCGGAAGAGAUAAGUGCUGAAAGCAUCUAAGCACGAAACUUGCCCCGAGAUGAGUUCUCCCUGAGACUAUAAGUCUCCUGAAGGAACGUUGAAGACGACGACGUUGAUAGGCCGGGUGUGUAAGCGCAGCGAUGCGUUGAGCUAACCGGUACUAAUGAACCGUGAGGCUUAACCUUACAACGCCGAAG
RNAcentral lists this ribosomal RNA (2923 nucleotides) under Klebsiella quasivariicola. RNAcentral describes it as "bacterial LSU rRNA". It matches the Rfam family "Bacterial large subunit ribosomal RNA". The record is from RNAcentral. Lineage: Bacteria; Pseudomonadati; Pseudomonadota; Gammaproteobacteria; Enterobacterales; Enterobacteriaceae.